GAUGAACGCUGGCGGCGUGCCUAAUACAUGCAAGUCGAGCGAACGGACGAGAAGCUUGCUUCUCUGAUGUUAGCGGCGGACGGGUGAGUAACACGUGGAUAACCUACCUAUAAGACUGGGAUAACUUCGGGAAACCGGAGCUAAUACCGGAUAAUAUUUUGAACCGCAUGGUUCAAAAGUGAAAGACGGUCUUGCUGUCACUUAUAGAUGGAUCCGCGCUGCAUUAGCUAGUUGGUAAGGUAACGGCUUACCAAGGCAACGAUGCAUAGCCGACCUGAGAGGGUGAUCGACCACACUGGAACUGAGACACGGUCCAGACUCCUACGGGAGGCAGCAGUAGGGAAUCUUCCGCAAUGGGCGAAAGCCUGACGGAGCAACGCCGCGUGAGUGAUGAAGGUCUUCGGAUCGUAAAACUCUGUUAUUGGGGAAGAACAUAUGUGUAAGUAACUGUGCACAUCUUGACGGUACCUAAUCAGAAAGCCACGGCUAACUACGUG
This 497-nucleotide ribosomal RNA is filed under the name uncultured bacterium. RNAcentral's name for it is "partial 16S ribosomal RNA". It matches the Rfam family "Bacterial small subunit ribosomal RNA", at positions 28 to 507 of the family's 1533-position model. The record is from RNAcentral.